This 158-nucleotide ribosomal RNA is filed under the name Ceratocystis mangicola. RNAcentral describes it as "5.8S ribosomal RNA". It matches the Rfam family "5.8S ribosomal RNA". From Rfam's summary of the family: 5.8S ribosomal RNA (5.8S rRNA) is a component of the large subunit of the eukaryotic ribosome. The record is from RNAcentral. Lineage: Eukaryota; Fungi; Ascomycota; Sordariomycetes; Microascales; Ceratocystidaceae.
AAACUUUCAACAACGGAUCUCUUGGCUCUAGCAUCGAUGAACAACGCAGCGAAAUGCGAUAAGUAAUGUGAAUUGCACAAUUCAGUGAAUCAUCGAAUCUUUGAACGCACAUUGCGCCUGGCAGUAUUCUGCCAGGCAUGCCUGUCCGAGCGUCAUUU